AUUAUGCAGUUCUGAUGCUGGGGCGUGGAAAACAUUGCCGUGUUUCUGGCAUGAUUCACAUUUUUUCGAGAAAGACAGGCAAUCCUGUUCUAAUGUAGGCCAAAAGAAUCCGGCCCUCAGAACGCGUGCCUUCAGUGCACGUCCUCCUGUGUGCCUACCGCAUAUGCCCUGAUGUAAUUCAAGCAAGACAUAACCUGCUUCUUCCGUAGAUAAGCAUUUCAUGAUCGGGGUAACGUAUCCCCUUCGGUAUAAAUCGUCCCCGAUCAAACAAUAUCGGGAUAUUUUCUUUAUUUC
Molecule: long non-coding RNA, 294 nt
Filed under: Vigna radiata
Lineage: Eukaryota; Viridiplantae; Streptophyta; Magnoliopsida; Fabales; Fabaceae
Description: long non-coding RNA (VRAD_LNC009127)
Source: RNAcentral